Molecule: ribosomal RNA, 340 nt
Filed under: uncultured eukaryote
Lineage: Eukaryota
Description: SSU rRNA
Rfam family: Eukaryotic small subunit ribosomal RNA
Source: RNAcentral
CAAUAGCGUAUAUUAAAGUUGUUGCGGUUAAAAAGCUCGUAGUUGGAUUUCUGCCGAGGACGACCGGUCCGCCCUCUGGGUGAGCAUCUGGCUCGGCCUGGGCAUCUUCUUGGAGAACGUAGCUGCACUUGACUGUGUGGUGCGGUAUCCAGGACUUUUACUUUGAGGAAAUUAGAAUGUUUCAAGCAGGCACGCGCCCUGAAUACAUUAGCAUGGAAUAAUAAGAUAGGACCUCGGUUCUAUUUUGUUGGUUUCUAGAGUCUGAUGGUAAUGAGUUAAUAGGGAUAGGUUGGGGCAUUCGGUAUUUAACUGUCAGAGGUGAAAUUCUUGGAUUUGUUAA